AUUGAACGCUGCGGCAGGCUUAACACAUGCAAGUCGAGCGAGCGGCGGACGGGUGAGUAAUGCUUAGGAAUCUGCCUAUUAGUGGGGGACAACAUCUCGAAAGGGAUGCUAAUACCGCAUACUAAUAGAUGAGUCUAAGUCGGAUUAGCUAGUUGGUGGGGUAAAGGCCUACCAAGGCGACGAUCUGUAGCGGGUCUGGGAGGAUGAUCCGCCAAACCUGGACGGGGGAACGGCCCAGACCCCUACGGGAGGGAGCAGGUGGGAAUAUUGGGCAAUUGGGGGAAACCUGGUCCAGCCAUGCCGCGUGUGUGAAGAAAGCCUUAUGGUUGUAAAGGACUUUAAGCGAGGAGGCGUUACCCGCAGAAGAAGCACCGGCUAACUCCGUGCCAGCAGCCGCGGUAAUAC
RNAcentral lists this ribosomal RNA (405 nucleotides) under uncultured bacterium. RNAcentral describes it as "partial 16S ribosomal RNA". It matches the Rfam family "Bacterial small subunit ribosomal RNA", at positions 30 to 526 of the family's 1533-position model. The record is from RNAcentral.